This is a long non-coding RNA of Petromyzon marinus (sea lamprey), 558 nucleotides long. RefSeq lists it as uncharacterized. The record is from RefSeq and is a predicted model, not a curated record. NCBI's taxonomy places the organism in Eukaryota, Metazoa, Chordata, Hyperoartia, Petromyzontiformes, Petromyzontidae.
GUGGCGUGCCCCUGCGCGCGACGUCAGCCUUAAUUGGAGAUAAUCACAGAGGGUGUUUCACUGUCACUGGGAGGUAAAGGGAUCAAUGGGCAGGCAACGUCUCCUUCCUCUCAGUGGCACGAAACACAACCCUGUUAUUACCGUAAUGCACCUGAUAUGUAUACACUGUGUGUGUGUGUGUGGAGGGGGGGGGGGUGUAUGGGAAUGUGUGGCGGAGCGGUGGCGCAGUGGUGAGCGCAGGUCGGCGAUGUCAGCCACGUGGAACGGAGUGGGCUCGCGAAAGUUCGCGAGGCCGUCGUCCCCCGUGGAGAUGGAACGACGGAUUCACGUGGGUGCGCUGGCUGGGCUGGUGCACAUGGCAGCGUGCGGCGAGAAGUUUCUGGGAGGGCGGAUGUUUGGAGGGAGGCCUUCGUCCGGCAGUGGAUUGACCAUGGCUGAAAAUAAUUCUUUACAUACGGUGAUGUUAUCUUGCCGACCCGCUCAUACUGGACAUCUGUGAAAAAGAGCUUCACAUGUCCACGGAUCCCUCCUGCAGUCGAAAUAAAGAUUCCGAAUAAA